CCUACGGGAGGCAGCAGUGAGGAAUAUUGGUCAAUGGGCGGACGCCUGAACCAGCCAAGUAGCGUGCGGGAUGAAGGCGCUACGGGUCGUAAACCGCUUUUGCACGGGGAUAACACCCUCCACUUGUGGAGGUCUGCAGGUACCGUGCGAAUAAGGGCCGGCUAAUUCCGUGCCAGCAGCCGCGGUAAUACGGAAGGCCCGAGCGUUAUCCGGAUUCAUUGGGCUUAAAGGGAGCGUAGGCGGGCGUUCAAGUCAGCUGUAAAAUCGCGCGGCUCAACCGCGCCCCGCAGUUGAAACUGGACGCAUUGAGUUCACAACAGGCAGGCGGAAUUCGUGGUGUAGCGGUGAAAUGCAUAGAUAUCACGAGGAACCCCGAUUGCGAAGGCAGCCUGCCGGGGUGCGACUGACGCUGAGGCUCGAAGGUGCGGGUAUCAAACAGGAUUAGAUACCCUAGUAGUC
This 459-nucleotide ribosomal RNA is filed under the name uncultured bacterium. RNAcentral describes it as "partial 16S ribosomal RNA". It matches the Rfam family "Bacterial small subunit ribosomal RNA", at positions 338 to 795 of the family's 1533-position model. The record is from RNAcentral.